GAUGAACGCUGACAGAAUGCUUAACACAUGCAAGUCGACUUGAAUUUGGGUUUUUAACUUAGGUUUGGGUGGCGGGCGGGUGAGUAACGCGUAAAGAACUUGCCUCACAGCUAGGGACAACAUUUGGAAACGAAUGCUAAUACCUAAUAUUAUGAUAAUAGGGCAUCCUAUAAUUAUGAAAGUUAUAAGCGCUGUGAGAGAGCUUUGCGUCUCAUUAGCUAGUUGGAGAGGUAACGGCUCACCAAGGCGAUGAUGGGUAGCCGGCCUGGGAGGGUGAUCGGCCACAAGGGGACUAAGACACGGCCCUUACUCCUACGGGAGGCAGCAGUGGGGAAUAUUGGACAAUGGACCGAGAGUCUGAUCCAGCAAUUCUGUGUGCACGAUGAAGUUUUUCGGAAUAUAAAGUGCUUUCAGUUGGGAAGAAACAAAUGACGGUACCAACAGAAGAAGUGACGGCUAAAUACGUG
Molecule: ribosomal RNA, 467 nt
Filed under: uncultured bacterium
Lineage: Bacteria
Description: partial 16S ribosomal RNA
Rfam family: Bacterial small subunit ribosomal RNA
Source: RNAcentral